UGGGGAAUCUUCCGCAAUGGGCGAAAGCCUGACGGAGCAACGCCGCGUGAGUGAAGAAGGCCUUCGGGUCGUAAAGUUCUGUUGAAAGGGAAGAAGUCUAUUUAUGUAAAUAAUGUAAAUAGUUGACGGUAACUUUUGAGGAAGCUCCGGCUAACUACGUGCCAGCCGCCGCGGUAAUACGUAGGGAGCAAGCGUUGUCCGGAAUUACUGGGCGUAAAGGGCGCGUAGGCGGGAUAUUAAGUUAGGUGUGAAAACUCUGGGCUCAACUUGGAGACUGCACCUAAAACUGGUAAUCUUGAGGACAGUAGAGGAAAGUGGAAUUCCUAGUGUAGCGGUGAAAUGCGUAGAUAUUAGGAGGAACACCAGUGGCGAAGGCGACUUUCUGGACUGUAACUGACGCUGAGGUACGAAAGCGUGGGGAGCAAACA
Molecule: ribosomal RNA, 428 nt
Filed under: uncultured prokaryote
Description: bacterial SSU rRNA
Rfam family: Bacterial small subunit ribosomal RNA
Source: RNAcentral